RNAcentral lists this ribosomal RNA (460 nucleotides) under uncultured bacterium. Its description in RNAcentral is "partial 16S ribosomal RNA". It matches the Rfam family "Bacterial small subunit ribosomal RNA", at positions 338 to 795 of the family's 1533-position model. The record is from RNAcentral.
CCUACGGGUAGCAGCAGUGAGGAAUAUUGGUCAAUGGACGAAAGUCUGAACCAGCCAAGCCGCGUGCAGGAUGACGGCCCUAUGGGUUGUAAACUUCUUUUAUACGAGGAUAAACUGUUAUACGCGUAUGUUUCUGUAAGUAUCGUACGAAUAAGGAUCGGCUAACUCCGUGCCAGCAGCCGCGGUAAUACGGAGGAUUCAAGCGUUCUCCGGAUUUAUUGGGUUUAAAGGGUGCGUCGGCGGUCUGAUAAGUCAGAGGCGAAAUGUCGAGGCUCAACCUCGGAAUUGCCUCUGAUACUGUUAGGCUAGAGAGUAGUUGAGGUAGGCGGAAUGCAUGGUGUAGCGGUGAAAUGCUUAGAGAUCAUACAGAACACCGAUUGCGAAGGCAGCUCACUAAGCUACAUCUGACGUUGAGGCACGAAAGCGUGGGGAGCAAACAGGAUUAGAUACCCUUGUAGUC